RNAcentral lists this ribosomal RNA (609 nucleotides) under Escherichia coli. Its description in RNAcentral is "partial 23S ribosomal RNA". It matches the Rfam family "Bacterial large subunit ribosomal RNA", at positions 2190 to 2798 of the family's 2925-position model. Lineage: Bacteria; Pseudomonadati; Pseudomonadota; Gammaproteobacteria; Enterobacterales; Enterobacteriaceae. The record is from RNAcentral.
CCUUGAAAUACCACCCUUUAAUGUUUGAUGUUCUAACGUUGGCCCGUAAUCCGGGUUGCGGACAGUGUCUGGUGGGUAGUUUGACUGGGGCGGUCUCCUCCUAAAGAGUAACGGAGGAGCACGAAGGUUGGCUAAUCCUGGUCGGACAUCAGGAGGUUAGUGCAAUGGCAUAAGCCAGCUUGACUGCGAGCGUGACGGCGCGAGCAGGUGCGAAAGCAGGUCAUAGUGAUCCGGUGGUUCUGAAUGGAAGGGCCAUCGCUCAACGGAUAAAAGGUACUCCGGGGAUAACAGGCUGAUACCGCCCAAGAGUUCAUAUCGACGGCGGUGUUUGGCACCUCGAUGUCGGCUCAUCACAUCCUGGGGCUGAAGUAGGUCCCAAGGGUAUGGCUGUUCGCCAUUUAAAGUGGUACGCGAGCUGGGUUUAGAACGUCGUGAGACAGUUCGGUCCCUAUCUGCCGUGGGCGCUGGAGAACUGAGGGGGGCUGCUCCUAGUACGAGAGGACCGGAGUGGACGCAUCACUGGUGUUCGGGUUGUCAUGCCAAUGGCACUGCCCGGUAGCUAAAUGCGGAAGAGAUAAGUGCUGAAAGCAUCUAAGCACGAAACUUGCC